CCAAUAGCGUAUAUUAAAGUUGUUGCAGUUAAAAAGCUCGUAGUUGAAUUUCGGGAUCAGUACGUUGGUCGUGCCUUCGGUACGUACUGAUGUUACUGGUUUCUACCUUCUGAAGAACCAUCAUGUCAUUAAUUUGGUGUGGCGGGGAAUCAGGACUGUUACUUUGAAAAAAUUAGAGUGUUUAAAGCAGGCUCGCGCUUGAAUACAUUAGCAUGGAAUAAUGAAAUAGGACGUUCGAUCCUAUUUUGUUGGUUUCUAGGAUUGACGUAAUGAUUAAUAGGGAUAGUUGGGGGCAUUAGUAUUCAAUUGUCAGAGGUGAAAUUCUUGGAUUUAUUGAAGACUAACUACUGCGAAAGCAUUUGCCAAGGAUGUUUUCAUUAAUCAAGAACGAAAGUUAGGGGAUCGAAGACGAUCAGAUACCGUCGUAGUCUUAACCAUAAACUAUGCCGACUAGGGAUCGGAUGAUGUUAAUUUUUUAAUGACUCAUUCGGCGCCUUACG
This 500-nucleotide ribosomal RNA is filed under the name uncultured Glomus. Its description in RNAcentral is "SSU rRNA". It matches the Rfam family "Eukaryotic small subunit ribosomal RNA", at positions 591 to 1092 of the family's 1831-position model. The record is from RNAcentral. Lineage: Eukaryota; Fungi; Glomeromycota; Glomeromycetes; Glomerales; Glomeraceae.